UCAUUGGAUUGUGCCGCUUCCCUUUGACCCUUUAACGCCAUACCCCUUCGGUAAAUAGGAAAUAGGAAAUACUUGCUUCCCCGUCUCCCUGUAGGCCCAGUGGGGUUUAGUAAAAUUGCGCCUGACAUGUAAUACACUAGAUGCUGCUGAAAGCCACGUGCUUAUUGUAAAACAAUUACUAGGAACUGGGAACCACAGUAGAUCAAGGACAAGGCUGCACUUUCACGUUUAUGUGUUAAUGGGGGAGCCCAAGGCCUCCGGCAGGUGGGGUGAGUGUUGCCCUUUGAACACGGCAUGACUUACAAGGGAUUUCAGGUAUCUGCUGGACGCUCUGGGCUGUUGAUUUGAUCACAGACACCACAUCCAAAGAGGAAAGCCUGGAGUGCUUUCAAUAGGAGGAAGUGGAAGGAAGAGAGAAAAAUAGAGUUAUGUUUCACAGACUUAUCCUCCUUGCAAGUUCACUUGUAUCAGCAGCACUGGCAAGUGACAACUCACCUGAAUUCAGAACUGUGCUCUUCUAGAAACACGGUAAGGUGAGAGGAUGAAGACACGCUUUAAAAGUUUGUGUCUGCAGGGCGCCUGGGUGGCUCAGUUGGUUGGACGACCGAUUUCGCCUCAGGUCAUGAUCUCACGGUCUGUGAGUUCGAGUCCCGCG
This is a long non-coding RNA of Herpailurus yagouaroundi (jaguarundi), 655 nucleotides long. RefSeq lists it as uncharacterized. The transcript has 3 exons. The record is from RefSeq and is a predicted model, not a curated record. Lineage: Eukaryota; Metazoa; Chordata; Mammalia; Carnivora; Felidae.